UCAAGUUAUUAAGGGUGUAGGGCGGAUGCCUUGGCACUAGGAGCCGAUGAAAGACGUGAUAAGCUGCGAUAAGCUUCGGGGAGUGGCACAUACACUUUGAUCCGGAGAUUUCUGAAUGAGGAAACUCACUUGGAGUAAUGUCCAAGUAUCCAUAGGUGAAUACAUAGCCUAUGGAGGGGAACUCAGGGAACUGAAACAUCUAAGUACCUGAAGGAAGAGAAAGAAAUUCGAUUCCGCUAGUAGCGGCGAGCGAACGCGGAAGAGCCCAAACCAAGUCAGUUUACUGAUUUGGGGUUGCGGACAUAUCUUAAGGAAAGGUUAUUGCGAGUAGAAUAGGUCUGGAAAGAUCAACCACAGAGGGUAAAAGUCCCGUAUACAAAGCCAAGAAAGUUCUUGAUAUGAUCCAGAGUACCACGAGACACGUGAAACCUUGUGGGAAGCAGGGGGGACCACCCCCCAAGGCUAAAUACUACCUAGUGACCGAUAGCGAAUAGUACCGUGAGGGAAAGGUGAAAAGAACCCCGGGAGGGGAGUGAAAUAGAACCUGAAACCCUACACUUACAAGCUGUGGGAGCGCAUUAUUCGCGUGACCGCGUACUUUUUGUAGAACGGGCCAACGAGUUACGUUAUGUGGCAAGGUUAAGCACUUAAGGUGUGGAGCCGAAGCGAAAGCGAGUCUUAACUGGGCGCCAUAGUCACAUGACGUAGACCCGAAACCGGGCGACCUACCCAUGAGCAGGAUGAAGCGAAAGUAAAAUUUCGUGGAGGUCCGAACCCACGUACGUUGAAAAGUGCGGGGAUGACUUGUGGGUAGCGGUGAAAUUCCAAUCGAGCUCGGAGAUAGCUGGUUCUCCCCGAAAUAGCUUUAGGGCUAGCCUUGAAAUUUAGAGAUGUGGAGGUAGAGCACUGAAUGUCCUAGGGGGUAUUGCACUUACCGAAGACUAUCAAACUCCGAAUGCCAUUAUCUUUUGUUCAGGAGUCAGACUAUGGGUGAUAAGGUUCAUAGUCGAAAGGGAAAGAGCCCAGACCGUCAGCUAAGGUCCCUAAAUGUAUGUUAAGUGGUAAAGGAUGUGGGAUUGCACAGACAACCAGGAUGUUGGCUUAGAAGCAGCCACUCAUUUAAAGAGUGCGUAAUAGCUCACUGGUCGAGUGAUCCUGCGCCGAAGAUUUCCGGGGCUAAAACAUACUACCGAAGCUACGGCAUCAUAUGAUGAUGGGUAGGGGAGCUUCCCAUGCAGGCUGAAGCGAUACCGUAAGGAGUCGUGGACAGUAUGGGAGAGAGAAUGUUGGCAUGAGUAGCGAGAUGAGGGUGAGAAUCCCUCAGGCCGUAAACCCAAGGUUUCCAGGGGAAGGUUCGUCCUCCCUGGGUUAGUCGGGACCUAAGCUCAGGCCGAAAGGCGUAGGCGAUGGACAACAGGUUGAGAUUCCUGUACUACCGAUAAUCGUUUGAGAGAAGGGAUGACACAGUAGGAUAAGCUGAGCACACUGUUGGUUAUGUGUGUCUAAGCGUUGAGGCAGACUAGAUAGGCAAAUCCGUUUAGUUAAUGCUGGGGCGCGAUGGGGAGCGAAACUAAGUAGCGAAGCAGCUGAUUUCACACUGUCGAGAAAAGUCUCUAUCGAGAUUAAAGGUACCCGUACCGCAAACCGACACAGGUGGGUGAGGAGAGUAUCCUAAGGCCAGCGAGAGAACUGUUGUUAAGGAACUCGGCAAAAUGACCCCGUAACUUAGGGAUAAGGGGUGCCCCAGCAAUGGGGCCGCAGAGAAUUGGCCCAAGCGACUGUUUACCAAAAACAUAGGUUUCUGCUAAGUCGCAAGACGAUGUAUAGGAGCUGACGCCUGCCCGGUGCUGGAAGGUUAAGGGGAUCUGUUAGAGCAAUCGAAGCAGUGAUCUUAAGCCCCAGUAAACGGCGGCCGUAACUAUAACGGUCCUAAGGUAGCGAAAUUCCUUGUCGGGUAAGUUCCGACCCGCACGAA
This 1975-nucleotide ribosomal RNA is filed under the name human metagenome. RNAcentral's name for it is "bacterial LSU rRNA". It matches the Rfam family "Bacterial large subunit ribosomal RNA", at positions 3 to 1996 of the family's 2925-position model. The record is from RNAcentral.